CGUCUCGGUUAGAUUGGGAUACUCAUCAAAUAACAAUGAAAACCGGGCAGUCUUCUCUUGUCGAUGGCGGGCCAUUACCCAAGCGUUUUCCAAAUGCCGAUGGAUUACAAAGACGGAGAGCACCCAUAACCUGUGAUAAAGGAGUUUUCAUCACAUCACCCUGGCGGUCCCU
Molecule: small RNA, 172 nt
Filed under: uncultured Prevotella sp.
Lineage: Bacteria; Pseudomonadati; Bacteroidota; Bacteroidia; Bacteroidales; Prevotellaceae
Description: Bacteroidales-1 6S-Bacteroidales RNA suggested
Rfam family: Bacteroidales-1 6S-Bacteroidales RNA suggested
Source: RNAcentral